RNAcentral lists this ribosomal RNA (585 nucleotides) under Aureobasidium pullulans. RNAcentral describes it as "eukaryotic LSU rRNA". It matches the Rfam family "Eukaryotic large subunit ribosomal RNA", at positions 50 to 652 of the family's 3401-position model. The record is from RNAcentral. Lineage: Eukaryota; Fungi; Ascomycota; Dothideomycetes; Dothideales; Saccotheciaceae.
GCGGAGGAAAAGAACAACAGGAUUGCCCUAGUAACGGCGAGUGAAGCGGCAACAGCUCAAAUUUGAAAGCUAGCCUUCGGGUUCGCAUUGUAAUUUGUAGAGGAUGAUUUGGGGAAGCCGCCUGUCUAAGUUCCUUGGAACAGGACGUCAUAGAGGGUGAGAAUCCCGUAUGUGACAGGAAAUGGCACCCUAUGUAAAUCUCCUUCGACGAGUCGAGUUGUUUGGGAAUGCAGCUCUAAAUGGGAGGUAAAUUUCUUCUAAAGCUAAAUAUUGGCGAGAGACCGAUAGCGCACAAGUAGAGUGAUCGAAAGAUGAAAAGCACUUUGGAAAGAGAGUUAAAAAGCACGUGAAAUUGUUGAAAGGGAAGCGCUUGCAAUCAGACUUGUUUAAACUGUUCGGCCGGUCUUCUGACCGGUUUACUCAGUUUGGACAGGCCAGCAUCAGUUUCGGCGGCCGGAUAAAGGCUCUGGGAAUGUGGCCUCCACUUCGGUGGAGGUGUUAUAGCCCAGGGUGUAAUACGGCCAGCCGGGACUGAGGUCCGCGCUUCGGCCUAGGAUGCUGGCGUAAUGGUUGUAAGCGACCCGU